GUUAGGAAUAUUUGGACAAUGGGCGCAAGCCUGAUCCAGCCAUGCCGCGUGAGUGAUGAAGGCCUUCGGGUUGUAAAGCUCUUUAGUCCACGAAUAUAAUGACUGUAGUGGAAGAAUAAGCCCCGGCUAACUUCGUGCCAGCAGCCGCGGUAAUACGAAGGGGGCGAGCGUUAUUCGGAAUCACUGGGCGUAAAGCGUGCGUAGGCUGUUUUGUAAGUCAGAAGUGAAAGCCCAGGGCUUAACCCUGGAAUUGCUUUUGAAACUACAAGACUCGAAUUCGGGAGAGGAUAGCGGAAUUGUCAGUGUAGCAGUGAAAUGCGUAGAUAUUGACAGGAACACCAGUGGCGCAAGCGGCUAUCUGGACCGAUAUUGACGCUGAGGCACGAAAGCGUGGGGAGCAAACAGGAUUAGAAACCCUGGUAGUCC
RNAcentral lists this ribosomal RNA (426 nucleotides) under uncultured bacterium. Its description in RNAcentral is "partial 16S ribosomal RNA". It matches the Rfam family "Bacterial small subunit ribosomal RNA", at positions 354 to 796 of the family's 1533-position model. The record is from RNAcentral.